UGGGGAAUAUUGCACAAUGGAGGGAACUCUGAUGCAGCAACGCCGCGUGCGGGAUGACGGCCUUCGGGUUGUAAACCGCUUUCAGCCAUGACGAAGCUUUUGUGACGGUAGUGGUAGAAGAAGCACCGGCUAACUACGUGCCAGCAGCCGCGGUGAUACGUAGGGUGCGAGCGUUGUCCGGAAUUAUUGGGCGUAAAGAGCUUGUAGGCGGUUUGUCGCGUCGAUAGUGUAAACACGCAGCUUAACUGUGUGCCUGCUGUCGAUACGGGCUGACUAGAGGAGGGUAGGGGAGGAUGGAAUUCCCGGUGGAGCGGUGGAAUGCGCAGAUAUCGGGAGGAACACCAGUGGCGAGGGCGGUUCUCUGGACAUUUCCUAACGCUGAGAAGCGAAAGCGUGGGUAGCAAACAGG
This 409-nucleotide ribosomal RNA is filed under the name Fusobacteriota bacterium. RNAcentral's name for it is "Fusobacteria bacterium partial 16S ribosomal RNA". It matches the Rfam family "Bacterial small subunit ribosomal RNA", at positions 355 to 776 of the family's 1533-position model. The record is from RNAcentral. Lineage: Bacteria; Fusobacteriati; Fusobacteriota.